CGGGGAGUAGCGCAGACUGGUAGCGCGCUUGGCUUGGGACCAAGAGGUCGGCGGUUCAAAUCCGCUCUCCCCGACCA
Molecule: transfer RNA, 77 nt
Filed under: Deltaproteobacteria bacterium
Lineage: Bacteria; Pseudomonadati; Myxococcota; Myxococcia
Description: tRNA-Pro
Rfam family: tRNA
About the family: Transfer RNA (tRNA) molecules are approximately 80 nucleotides in length. Their secondary structure includes four short double-helical elements and three loops (D, anti-codon, and T loops).
Source: RNAcentral